CUUAAUGUGGCAGAAGAAGUGCAAUGAAUUUAAGCUUCAUUUAUAAAGAAUUACUCUUUUAUUAAGA
RNAcentral lists this transfer RNA (67 nucleotides) under Rhodnius pictipes. RNAcentral describes it as "tRNA-Leu". Lineage: Eukaryota; Metazoa; Arthropoda; Insecta; Hemiptera; Reduviidae. The record is from RNAcentral.